CGGUGGGCCACCUCUCCCCACCGAGAGGCGACUAUCUGUGAGGAUAGA
Molecule: non-coding RNA, 48 nt
Filed under: marine eukaryotic metagenome
Description: serC leader
Rfam family: serC leader
About the family: This family is a putative regulatory RNA structure that is found upstream of the serC-serA operon in some alpha-proteobacteria. The final stem of the structure overlaps the ribosome binding site of the serC reading frame.
Source: RNAcentral